Molecule: transfer RNA, 83 nt
Filed under: Deltaproteobacteria bacterium
Lineage: Bacteria; Pseudomonadati; Myxococcota; Myxococcia
Also listed under: 1 other name
Description: tRNA-Leu
Rfam family: tRNA
About the family: Transfer RNA (tRNA) molecules are approximately 80 nucleotides in length. Their secondary structure includes four short double-helical elements and three loops (D, anti-codon, and T loops).
Source: RNAcentral
GCGAGAGUGGCGGAAUCCGGCAGACGCGCCGGCCUUAGAAGCCGGUGGGGAAACCCGUGCGGGUUCGAGUCCCGCCUCUCGCA